Molecule: non-coding RNA, 2066 nt
Organism: Heterocephalus glaber (naked mole-rat)
Lineage: Eukaryota; Metazoa; Chordata; Mammalia; Rodentia; Bathyergidae
Source: RefSeq, a predicted model, not a curated record
UGAGUUCUAGGAUGGCUAACCAGUGUGUUUGAGUUCUUAAAGAAUCUGGCAGCUGAGGUCAUGGGACUAGGAUUAUUCAAGACUAAGUUUCCAACCCAUCAAUCCAACAUUUAUUGAGGACUUCUUGUGGACAAAGGGCUCUGUUUGCCUUUGUCUGGAUAUUCAGAAGACCCAUGUGAACAAUGCAAAAUAAAGUAGCAGUAAAAGAGAACGGACAAAUACAGUCACAAGUUCAAAUGAUUCUACGUGGGAGGAGAUUAAAAAUGGUAAAGUAAGAACAAGCUGCAAAAUAGACCCUCUUUGAAAUGUGAAUCAAAACAUUUUGAAAACAACCUAGCAAAGAAAAAAGAAGUAGAACUCUGGGAAUCAAGAAAAAGCUGGUAGGAAAACUAGAAACUAGAGAGAAACUGAAAAGGAUGCAAAGAAAAGAACAAAGGAGACUGGAACACUAACCCUGGCUCCCAGGGAGGAGGUCCUAUCUCCACCAACACAAGAGCUGGGGAAUCAAGACUUGAGAAGGUUGGACACUGAGAAGACACUCAGAUAUUCUGCUGAUUAAGUUAAAAAUGGAUACAAACAUCAAGACACAACCAAACUCAAGGACAUGUCACAGGGAGACAAACCUAACUAAAGAGAUCUCCACAGUAGCAAUAGUUUCUCUACCCUAACUGACCUUCAACUCAGAGCAAAAAAAUGAUAGAAACAUGAGAAAAUCAGGCAAGAAGAUGCCUUCCAAAGACCCCUAGCUCCCAAAAAUCUGAUCUCGUGGACACUAAAGUAGAGGAAACUAUGGGCAAAGAACUCAAAACCAAAUGGUCAAAAUGUUUAAAGAGAUUAAAGAAGAAAAAUAUAAGCAAACACAUAAGAUGUUUAAUGAGCUGAGAGAGAAUUUAAUUAAAAAGAUAAUGGAUUUUACUAAUAAAAUGUUCAAUGAGUACAAAGGAAAAACAAACAAUGAAAUAAUUGAGCUAAACAAGAUGAUACAAGACAUGAAUGACCACUUUGGAAAAUAACUAGAAAGUAUGAAAAGAAAGCAAGCAGAAAAAGAUGGUAUUAAGAUAUCAAAUGGAAAACAUGGGCCUCAAACUUGACCAGUGUGAGGCAGAGUGUCAGAAAUAGAAGACAACAUGGAUGUAAUAAUUCAUAAAUUCAAUGAUACCCUAAAAACAAAAAGGCACCAAGCUGGAUUCAACUGCUGCUAGAUGACAAAAACAAACAAACAAACAAAACAAAACCUCUCAGAAUUACGGAAAUAAGGAAAACUUAGAAGACAACUAAAAAGGUAUUAAAAAUUUUAUUCACUUAAAUUAUAGUAGAAAAUUUUCCAGAUCUUUGGAAAGAAUUCAAUAUUCAAGUACAAGAGGCAUAUAUAAUUUCAGAUAGGCAUUAACAGAAAAGAACUCCUCCAUGGUACACCAUAAUCAAAAUUCCAGAAAUUCAGCAAAAGUCAAACCCUCCCCCCGCAAAAAACCCAGCAAAUAACCUAUAAAGUCAAGUUCAUCAGAAUAACUGUGGAUUUCUCAGCACACACAUUAAAGGGCAGGAGAGCCUGGAGUGAAGUUUUUUAAGUCCUACAUGAAAACAAUUGUCAACUCAAACUUUUACUUCCUGCAAAAAUUAGCCUUCAAAAUUGACAGAUAAGAAAAGUCUUUCCACAACAAAGAAGUCCUAAAGAAGUUCAUAACCACUAAACCAGCAUUCCAGAAAAUACUUAAGAGAAUUCUAGACAGAGAUUGGGAGGCCACCAGCACCACAAAGUGCAAAGGAAAACAUAUAUCUGAGAGAGUAAUUAAAAGGAAAAAAAAAAGGAAACAGCAUAGGAAAAAUAAUGCAAUGACAGGAUUCAAUAAAUACCUUAUAAUAAUAAUUCUCAAUGUCAGUGGUCUCAACUCACCAAUCAAAAGACACAGACUGGUAGAUUGGAUCAAAAAACAAAACGCAACCAUACAUUUCUUACAAAAGAUACAAACAAACAGACCCAUCUGAUCCAAAAGGAAGUAUUGUACAGAAACUGAAUGUGAAAACAUGGAAAAUGAUACUCCAUUAAACUAGAGACCUAAAAUAAG